Molecule: long non-coding RNA, 1297 nt
Organism: Branchiostoma floridae (Florida lancelet)
Lineage: Eukaryota; Metazoa; Chordata; Leptocardii; Amphioxiformes; Branchiostomatidae
Exons: 3
Source: RefSeq, a predicted model, not a curated record
AGUUGGAGCAGUGAAAACCAUGCCGACUAACCAAAAGAAAAUGAAUCCGCGCGAAGCAGAAAAGGUGUCCAAACUACGACAGGAAAUGUCAUGUAAACUGAAGAGGAAAGUUCCGUUUUCCACCAUAACAAGGAAACAGGCACCGAAAGAUAAAAACAAGGACGUAUUGCCGGAGGAGAGCCUGGAGAAGUUGGUGCACUUUAAUUCGUGCGCGGUCGUCAGUAGUAGCCACGCCCUGAGGUUUCACUCGUACGGGCAGGAAAUAGACAGUCACGAUGCCGUGCUGAGAUUCAACUGCGCUCCCACGCACAAGUUUGAACAGUUCGUCGGAAACCGGACGGACUUUCGUCUCAUCAACACAAGAAUUCCGCACUGGGCAUGCAAAGAGGAAUUCUGGAGUGAAAACAGUACCAUGUUCAGACACGGGACACUAGUUGUCAGAAACAUGGACGGUAUAAACUUGGGACCGCGAGGUGUAGUAGACGCUAAAAAGGAUACUCAUCAUUCUUUUGAAAACUUGAUAAAAUACCAGGCAGACAUAUCCGAACAGGUCGUUGCCUUUCAUACAGAGACCUAGAUUCGGGCAGGACAUUAAAACGGAAUUAACACGUUUCUGUGACUCUACUAAAAUGUGUGACAAGACAAGGUGGAGUCCAAGUACAGGCUUAUUUGGUGUUGUGAUGAUGAUGCACCUCUGUGACUGGGUCUACGCCUACGAGCUCGUUCCUUCCAACAAGGACGACACGAAAUACGUCUAUUACUACGAAGAGACAUUACGGUCUCCGCACGACCUACAUUCGUACCACCAAGAACGAACUUACGUCAAAACAUUGUCACUGACUCCCGAUAAAGAUAUAGAGGAUACCGGCGUGCUGCUGUUAAAAGGACUCUCACAGACUCAAUGUGGUUGAUUUACUACGCUAGUUUAUUACCUCUAUCCACGGGGUAACCUAUAUCCGUUGUUCUAAAUAAGGGUAAAUAGCAAUGUCAAGUCGGACGGUUGUUUCAAAGUGCAAUAUUUUCGAAAUACACCGUCCGUUGACUUGAUAUGACUAAAUAUCUUGUGUUCUGAAACAACGGAUAUAGGUUACCCCGCAGAUACAGGUGAACUAGGGUUGAUAUUAUGAUUUGAUUAUUUGCCCUGGCUAUAUAGAGCUGUAUAUGACCGACGAUUCGGAAAUCUAUGUUUUGCAUUAAUUUCAAUUGCAUACAGCAUCUAAUGGUUAUGAUGCAGUCCUAGGCCUUAUUCUAAUUGUAAACAAAGAAUGUACAAUCAAUACAACGUUUUGACCUCAGA